UUUCAUGUGAGGCAACGUCUUCUUGGGCAUCGGAUGGUACUUGAUCGUGGGGUGCUCGUGGUGAGGCAUCGGGGACGGCUUGUAGACCGGCGCAGCAGGUGGGUUAUAGUAUCCCCCUGACGGCGGCUUGUGCAUCGGCGCAGGUGGUUGGUAGUAUCCCCCUGACGGCGGACUGUGCACCGGCGCAGGUGGUUGGUAGUAUCCCCCCGACGGUGCCUUGUGCACCGGCGCAGGUGGGUUGUAGGUAGGGGGGCUGUAAACUGGGUGUGGGUGGUAGUGAGACUUGGGUGGGAAUUUGUAGUGUGGCAUAUGUAACUUGGGGUGCUUCUUUUUCCAUGCCAGCGGAGGGCAGGGGUAGAAGGUGGCCGACGCGCAGGUGGCCGACGAGAACGACAGCUUCCCGGACGCCGCAACGAACGU
RNAcentral lists this long non-coding RNA (420 nucleotides) under Musa acuminata (dwarf banana). RNAcentral describes it as "long non-coding RNA (MACU_LNC002171)". Lineage: Eukaryota; Viridiplantae; Streptophyta; Magnoliopsida; Zingiberales; Musaceae. The record is from RNAcentral.